This is a long non-coding RNA of Neltuma alba, 180 nucleotides long. RefSeq lists it as uncharacterized. The record is from RefSeq and is a predicted model, not a curated record. The transcript is spliced from 3 exons. Lineage: Eukaryota; Viridiplantae; Streptophyta; Magnoliopsida; Fabales; Fabaceae.
AUCUCUUUGAAAAUGUUAUGUUCACGAAAUUUGAUAGGAGAAUGGCGAGCAAUAUCUUAUUACAGCGUAAUGGACAUGAUUGUGGUAUAUUUGUUAUUAAUUAUAUGCAACAAUCAGAUCAUUAUGUGAAGCAAAAUCCCUUAUUACAGUUUGACAGUGAUAAAGAAAGGUUGGAUUUGA